CCUGGUCAAUCAUACUUCGAAGAAUGCGUCAUGUUUUUUUUUUUUUUUUGCAGUCAACGUGCCUCGAAGCGAGUCGCUGAACUGACUCCAAUGGACCAUUUCGGAAAUCGCAGCGCCGCGAGAAAACCUAGCAGGCGCGCGACGCAUUAUGGGAAAAGUGAGUGAGCGCCGACCAACCGCCCGUCUUGGCUGCCUCCUGCGUUCGCAUAGCUGCGGUGUGUGAGUGUGCGCGUGCUUUGUUUGGUUAGAGAUUGCGUGUACUUUUGGUGGUGGGUGGUUGCAGGUGCGUUAUAUUAACUCUUACGUGCCUGUGGGUUACUUAGUGACCUCAGCCACUACUGCGCGUGAUGUCUUCGAAGUGCCGAGGCGGCGGUCAGACUUGUUGUGUGCCUGGUUGCGACAACAACACGCUGAAAGACAAGAACAUUUCAUUUCACGCAUUCGCUGCAAAUGAAAAAGAAAAAAGGAGUGGGUGAGAAGAAUCAACCGCCAAGGAAGUGCUGGGCGCUUCUCUUUGUGGCAACCUUCUAAGCACCACCGGAUAUGCGGAGCUCACUUCAACGCAAGUGGACGCCGUGGUUAUCUGGAUCGGCUGCCAAAAAUUUUCCCCCAUAAGGUCAUCAAUCAACUAUCUCCUUCCUUUAAUACCAUCGCGAAACGCAAGAAGACAAGCUCCCAAACUGCCUCUGCCAGCCCGGUGUUCCUUCUGAACGAGUUGGAUAUCGGCUGCGUAGUUGACGUGCCCCAAUGCGAUCAACAAAGCGACGUUGUUUCCCAGGAGCCCACCCAGCUUCGUUUCGCACGGAAACGGAAGG
This is a long non-coding RNA of Dermacentor albipictus, 815 nucleotides long. RefSeq lists it as uncharacterized. The record is from RefSeq and is a predicted model, not a curated record. NCBI's taxonomy places the organism in Eukaryota, Metazoa, Arthropoda, Arachnida, Ixodida, Ixodidae.